Molecule: ribosomal RNA, 254 nt
Filed under: uncultured bacterium
Lineage: Bacteria
Description: partial 16S ribosomal RNA
Rfam family: Bacterial small subunit ribosomal RNA
Source: RNAcentral
UACGUAGGGUGCAAGCGUUGUCCGGAAUUAUUGGGCGUAAAGAGCUCGUAGGCGGUCUGUCGCGUCGAAUGUGAAAACCCGGGGCUCAACCCCGGGCCUGCAUUCGAUACGGGGCAGACUAGAGUUCGGUAGGGGAGUCUGGAAUUCCUGGUGUAGCGGUGAAAUGCGCAGAUAUCAGGAGGAACACCGGUGGCGAAGGCGGCCACCUGGACGGUCACUGACGCUGAGACGCGAAAGCGUGGGGAGCAAACAGG